GUGGGGAAUAUUGCACAAUGGGCGCAAGCCUGAUGCAGCCAUGCCGCGUGUGUGAAGAAGGCCUUCGGGUUGUAAAGCACUUUCAGCGGGGAGGAAGGCGUUAAGGUUAAUAACCUUGGCGAUUGACGUUACCCGCAGAAGAAGCACCGGCUAACUCCGUGCCAGCAGCCGCGGUAAUACGGAGGGUGCAAGCGUUAAUCGGAAUUACUGGGCGUAAAGCGCACGCAGGCGGUCUGUCAAGUCGGAUGUGAAAUCCCCGGGCUCAACCUGGGAACUGCAUUCGAAACUGGCAGGCUAGAGUCUUGUAGAGGGGGGUAGAAUUCCAGGUGUAGCGGUGAAAUGCGUAGAGAUC
RNAcentral lists this ribosomal RNA (352 nucleotides) under Klebsiella pneumoniae. RNAcentral's name for it is "bacterial SSU rRNA". It matches the Rfam family "Bacterial small subunit ribosomal RNA", at positions 354 to 698 of the family's 1533-position model. The record is from RNAcentral. Lineage: Bacteria; Pseudomonadati; Pseudomonadota; Gammaproteobacteria; Enterobacterales; Enterobacteriaceae.